GGGCUGGUAGCUCAAUUGGCAGAGCAGAUCCCUCUUAAGGAUAAGGUUUUGGGUUCGAUUCCCAACCAGCCCACCA
RNAcentral lists this transfer RNA (76 nucleotides) under Candidatus Doudnabacteria bacterium RIFCSPHIGHO2_02_FULL_46_11. RNAcentral describes it as "tRNA-Lys". It matches the Rfam family "tRNA". Rfam says of the family: Transfer RNA (tRNA) molecules are approximately 80 nucleotides in length. Their secondary structure includes four short double-helical elements and three loops (D, anti-codon, and T loops). Further hydrogen bonds mediate the characteristic L-shaped molecular structure. tRNAs have two regions of fundamental functional importance: the anti-codon, which is responsible for specific mRNA codon recognition, and the 3' end, to which the tRNAs corresponding amino acid is attached (by aminoacyl-tRNA synthetases). tRNAs cope with the degeneracy of the genetic code in two manners: having more than one tRNA (with a specific anti-codon) for a particular amino acid; and 'wobble' base-pairing, i.e. permitting non-standard base-pairing at the 3rd anti-codon position. Lineage: Bacteria; Candidatus Doudnaibacteriota. The record is from RNAcentral.